GUUCGCAACAAGGCCUUUAAUAACCCCGCAUUUCCCGAGCCGUCCCGCCAAAGAAUUCAGACUACACUUUCGGGGGGCCGAGUUGGCCCCUCCCAGUAACCUUUGACCCUUUGAACUCACGUCUUCUCCUCUCACCUUAAGGUGCACAUCGCCACUUUACGCAUCUCUACACCUCCUUGUGGUCACCGCUUCCGCUGAGAGACCAGACAUUGACUGCGACUCCUCGCUUUCGCACCCCUCGCUUGUCCUAAUCUAUGGGACCAUCAGGUGCGGCAUUUGCUACUCACGAUUCACAAUCCCCCAAAGGCGGGGAAUCACGACGUCGAUUGCGUAAUUCGUGAGGCGGACCCCUCAUGCCAGCGUUCUGACUUUGAGUUUCCUUAACUGCCCCCGGGCGUGUUCGCCACCUCGUACACCAAAUUAAGCUUCGUUGCGCUUCUUGGAAUGGUCCAGAACUGUAGGAGACUGUUGGGAUCUCUAUCCCGAAAGGGAAGCCCCUGUCUCACUGUCCACCACGUACCAACAGCAGUCGAGCACAGCACUCUACAACCCAAUUCAGGGCGUUGCUCGCGUUGGGAACUAGAAUCAACGGUCGUAAGUCAACCCGUGAGAUUCCACUGACGGCCACUGUUUGGCCUCCUUCCACCCCUACUGCAGUUUAGUAGUACGGGGAAUACUGGACCCGAUGUGUGCACGAUGUUACCUGUCUUGUUUCCCGACGCUCUGGCGUUCCAAAUCGGUUAGGGUGUUUAGACAAGAGUCAAGCCUA
RNAcentral lists this ribosomal RNA (769 nucleotides) under Bacillus sp. (in: firmicutes). Its description in RNAcentral is "Bacillus sp. (in: Bacteria) partial 16S ribosomal RNA". Lineage: Bacteria; Bacillati; Bacillota; Bacilli; Caryophanales; Bacillaceae. The record is from RNAcentral.